AAGUCGUAACAAGGUUUCCAUAGGUGAACCUGCGGAAGGAUCAUUAACGAAUAACUAUGGUGUUGGUUGUAGCUGGCUCCUCGGAGCAUUGUGCACGCCCGCCAUUUUUAUCUUUCCACCUGUGCACCGACUGUAGGUCUGGAUACCUCUCGCCUCCCUUCUCUUAGGGUUAAAGCGGAUGCGGGGAUUGCUCGCAAGGGCUCUCCUCGAACUUCCAGGCUCUACGUCUUUUUACACACCCCAAUAGUAUGAUCCAGAAUGAUAGUCAAUGGGCUUUCAUAGCCUAUAAAACACUAUACAACUUUCAGCAACGGAUCUCUUGGCUCUC
This 328-nucleotide unclassified non-coding RNA is filed under the name Coprinellus sp. RNAcentral describes it as "partial internal transcribed spacer region". The stretch from base 1 to 46 matches the Rfam family "Eukaryotic small subunit ribosomal RNA", at positions 1786 to 1831 of the family's 1831-position model. Lineage: Eukaryota; Fungi; Basidiomycota; Agaricomycetes; Agaricales; Psathyrellaceae. The record is from RNAcentral.